ACCGUCUUUAUCAUGGGGAGCUUGGUCGCGCCGAGGAUCGUAAAGUGAGGCCGGCCUUGCUGACACCGUGAAACAACACGCACGCGCCGUGUAGCGCUGCUACGCUGGUGCAAUUUUUGGACCC
This 124-nucleotide non-coding RNA is filed under the name Haemaphysalis longicornis (longhorned tick). RNAcentral describes it as "U4atac minor spliceosomal RNA". It matches the Rfam family "U4atac minor spliceosomal RNA". From Rfam's summary of the family: U4atac is an essential component of the minor U12-type spliceosome complex which is required for removal of the rarer class of eukaryotic introns (AT-AC, U12-type). The record is from Rfam by way of RNAcentral. Lineage: Eukaryota; Metazoa; Arthropoda; Arachnida; Ixodida; Ixodidae.